Molecule: ribosomal RNA, 465 nt
Filed under: uncultured bacterium
Lineage: Bacteria
Description: bacterial SSU rRNA
Rfam family: Bacterial small subunit ribosomal RNA
Source: RNAcentral
GGGCCCGCACAAGCGGAGGAACAUGUGGUUUAAUUCGAUGAUACGCGAGGAACCUUACCCGGGCUCGAACGCAGGAGGAAUAUGGUGGAAACAUCAUAGCUAGCAAUAGUCGCCUGCGAGGUGCUGCAUGGUUGUCGUCAGCUCGUGCCGUGAGGUGUCGGCUUAAGUGCCAUAACGAGCGCAACCCUUAUCAUUAGUUGCCAGCGAGUCAAGUCGGGAACUCUAAUGAAACUGCCAGCGUAAGCUGUGAGGAAGGCGGGGAUGACGUCAAAUCAGCACGGCCCUUACGUCCGGGGCUACACACGUGUUACAAUGGAUGGUACAGAGGGUAGCUACUUCGCGAGAAGAUGCCAAUCUCUAAAGCCAUUCUCAGUUCGGAUUGGAGUCUGCAACUCGACUCCAUGAAGCUGGAUUCGCUAGUAAUCGCGCAUCAGCCAUGGCGCGGUGAAUACGUUCCCGGGCCUU